AGAGUUUGAUCCUGGCUCAGAACGAACGCUGGCGGCAUGCCUCAUACAUGCAAGUCGAACGAAGGCUUCGGCCUUAGUGGCGCACGGGUGAGUAGCGCGUGGGAACCUACCCUUUGUGGGGAUAACCGAGGGAAACUUCGGCUAAUACCGCAUACGCCGGGUAACCGGGAAAGAUUUAUCGCAGAAGGAUGGGCCCGCGU
RNAcentral lists this ribosomal RNA (200 nucleotides) under uncultured bacterium. Its description in RNAcentral is "partial 16S ribosomal RNA". It matches the Rfam family "Bacterial small subunit ribosomal RNA", at positions 8 to 236 of the family's 1533-position model. The record is from RNAcentral.